GACACCUGCCCAGUGCCUGAAGGUCAAGGAAGUUGGUGACCUGAUGACAUGGGACGCGGCUACAGAAGCUCGGGUGAACGGCAGCCGUAACUAUAACGGUCCUAAGGUAGCGAAAUUCCUUGUCGGGUAUAUAUAAGGUUGGGG
This is a ribosomal RNA of Beta vulgaris subsp. vulgaris (sugar beet), 144 nucleotides long. It matches the Rfam family "Bacterial large subunit ribosomal RNA", at positions 1854 to 2001 of the family's 2925-position model. The record is from Rfam. NCBI's taxonomy places the organism in Eukaryota, Viridiplantae, Streptophyta, Magnoliopsida, Caryophyllales, Amaranthaceae.